This 409-nucleotide ribosomal RNA is filed under the name bacterium. Its description in RNAcentral is "partial 16S ribosomal RNA". It matches the Rfam family "Bacterial small subunit ribosomal RNA", at positions 355 to 776 of the family's 1533-position model. The record is from RNAcentral.
UGGGGAAUAUUGCACAAUGGGCGAAAGCCUGAUGCAGCGACGCCGCGUGAGGGAUGACGGCCUUCGGGUUGUAAACCUCUUUCCGUAGGGACGAAGCGCAAGUGACGGUACCUGCAGAAGAAGCACCGGCUAACUACGUGCUAGCAGCCGCGGUAAUACGUAGGGUGCGAGCGUUGUCCGGAAUUACUGGUCGUAAAGAGCUCGUAGGCGGUUUGUCACGUCGUCUGUGAAAUCCUAGGGCUUAACCCUGGACGUGCAGGCGAUACGGGCUGACUUGAGUACUACAGGGGAGACUGGAAUUUCUGGUGUAGCGGUGGAAUGCACAGAUAUCAGGAAGAACACUGAUGGCGAAGGCAGGUCUCUGGGUAGUAACUGACGCUGAGGAGCGAAAGCAUGGGUAGCGAACAGG